This 541-nucleotide ribosomal RNA is filed under the name Palaemon paivai. RNAcentral describes it as "partial 16S ribosomal RNA". It matches the Rfam family "Bacterial large subunit ribosomal RNA", at positions 1812 to 2628 of the family's 2925-position model. Lineage: Eukaryota; Metazoa; Arthropoda; Malacostraca; Decapoda; Palaemonidae. The record is from RNAcentral.
AACAUGUCUAUAUGAAAUUAAUAUAAAGUCUAGCCUGCCCACUGAGUUUUAAAGGGCUGCGGUAAUUUGACCGUGCAAAGGUAGCAUAGUCAGUAGUCUUCUAAUUGUAGGCUGGAAUGAAUGGCUGGAUGAGAGAAUGACUGUCUCUUAGUUAAAGUGAAAUUUGACUUUUAAGUGAAAAGGCUUAAAUAUCUUGAGGGGACGAUAAGACCCUAUAAAACUUAAUAUAGAGCUGUCUUUGUUUUAAAUUUUAAAAUAAAAUUGUAAAGUUAAUUUUAUAUUUUGUUGGGGAGACAUUGAUAUAAGUAGUAACUGUCUGUUAAAAAUUAUAAUUAUAUUUAGUUUUUGAUCCUUCUUUGUGGAUUAAAAGAGUAAGUUACUUUAGGGAUAACAGCGUGAUUUUUUCUAAGAGUUCUUAUCGAAGAAAGUAGUUGCGACCUCGAUGUUGAAUUAAAAUUUCUUUUAGGUGUAGCCGCUUAAGUAGAAGGUCUGUUCGACCUUUAAAUUUUUACAUGAUUUGAGUUCAAACCGGUGUGAGCCA